UCGUAACAAGGUUUCCGUAGGUGAACCUGC
Molecule: non-coding RNA, 30 nt
Filed under: Mus musculus (house mouse)
Lineage: Eukaryota; Metazoa; Chordata; Mammalia; Rodentia; Muridae
Also listed under: 1 other name
Source: RNAcentral